AUUAAGAGAAGAUUAUACCUGAAUGAUGCGUUGGAUUAUAUUGAUGAUGGAUUGUGUUGAAUGAUUAGAUAAUUAUGUGGAUAAUUUGGAUAGAACUCUGCUAUUCAGAAAUAGAACAACUAUUUCAACAGAGAAGACAAUUGAGAUCAACUCAAGUCUUAAACACUCAAACUUAGCUUGUUAUUUCAUUUGGGCAAAGGCCCUAUUUAUAGGCUCAAGAGAGCCGGUUACAAUUAUUGUUGCAAUCGUUUGAUUGCAAUACGACAUAUAUAUUUACAUUAUAGCCCCCUAGACUAUUGAGGGUUAUACACUUUAUGUUACAUUAACCGACACUUAAUAAUUAUUCUACCGACACUUAUUUAAUUACAUAACAAUCCUUCUACCGACACUUUACAUAAUGAAAAAUAUAAUAAUCUCUUUCAUGAAAGGACAGGUGUCUUCAAUUAUGGCUUUUUACGUUAUUGCUUACAUCAUUCCUCCCGCCUCCGAAAAGACAUAUUUUUGAAUAAUUUUUUCUUUCAUCGUUAAUCUUCCAUGAAUGGUGUUUCUUCUGUGUUUUCUGAACAGUGACUGCAAUUGUGUCUUGAUGCAUGCAUAAUAUGUUUGCAAAGUUGUUUUUUGCUAUCAGCAGGUAAUUCAGCUAAUUGAUGAGAAAACUUUUCGAAAGGUUGUUCGAAAGUUUCAAUUGCUUUCAUUGCUUCCGGAGUGAUUUCACUGUCUGUUAACGAAUAGAUAAUGAAAGUUUUACUGGCGUAGUUCACUCUGAUUCUUGAUUUCUGAUCUUUACCGUUGCCUAUGCGUGAUGAUGCUAAAUAGACACCGGCGAGUGCAAAGAUUAGGUGAUCCUGUGUUGGUGAUUCUCGUGGUAGAUCAUCUUUUGUUGGUUUUGAGCCAUUGCUUAUUCCCAUGUUUGCGAAAGUAAUACUUGGGACAAUUAGUUGAGAGUCUUCAUCAAAAAUUGGGUAGCUAGAAUGCAUUUUAAUGAAUAAUCCUCUUUCCUGUUUUGCAAAUCGUAUUUUAUAAUUUCUGAUGAUAGUUUGCACAGCAGAAGGGAACUCGCUGACGCAAUGUAAAUUGGUGCCUUCUAGAUAGAUGGUGUCGAUGAAUCCAUGAAUAAAAUAAUCCCAUAAAGUCAUAGGAUCUGAUAGGUCGGCUAAGAAGACUGCUUUAGGACCUGGGCGUCUGGCUACUGGGUAAAAGCCCAUCAAAGAAUGGACCUCGGUGUAUGAAAUGAGGCUGUCCCAUAAUUCGGCAAAUUUUUUGGCAGAUGGUUUUUUCAUGGCUUCUUUUUCUUUUGUUGAUAGAAUGGAUUCAAGAGCAAUUUUUGCAUUUAAUUGGUUAAGGGAUCUUGGGAUGGAUACGGGUUUUUGUGGUGUGAAGCUGGAUGUAGAUUUUUGUGGUGUUAGGAGAACUGUUUUUGAACAUUUGACGUUAUCUGUUAUUACUGCUUUGUAUGCUUCGUUGUAUGCGGUUUCUGCUUCAUUUUUCGUUCUGUAGCUUUUGUGAAUGAUAUUUUUUCCAAGAAUAUAUGAACUAGCGAUUCCCCAAUCGUCAUAUACUCCUUUGUUUUCUCCGUUGAAAAUUACGUACCAUUUCUUUAUAUUUUUAUGAUCUGCUUGUAGUGGUGGAUAUUCCUCAUGGUUUGGCGUCAUGGUUUGUUGACUUUCAUCGGAUGAUAUUUCUUGAAUUUCUUCUUUAGGUUGCUUUGUUGUUGAGCUGUUGGCUGCUUCUUCUUUAGAUGCUGAACAAGAUGAUAGAAUUUGUAUUGUUUGUUGUAGUUGCUCUUUUUCACGUUUGACUACUUCAAGCUGUCUGAUUAAUGAUGCCUCUUGCUCCUCUUUUUGUUUGAGCGGGUGUUUGACUUGCUUCAUGAUGGCUUCCAUUUCAAUAUUUUUGCUGAGUGAAUAUUUGCGCCUUUUGGGUACCUGAAUGAUUGCUAAAUGAUGCUUGCUUUUAAUAUUUUAAAUGAUGAUAUGAGAAUUUUCAUAUCAAUGUAUGCUUUGGUGAUAUUUUCAUAUCACUGUAUACUUUAUCAUUGUUUACUUUGGAUGGUAUUUUCAUACCAAUAUAUGCUUUAGCAAUGUAUACUUUGGAUAGGUUAGAUAUGAGGUUUCCCUCAUGUUCUAAACCCAAUAAUGCUUUCUUCAUAGGACUAUUUACCUGAAUCAGAAUCAGUAUCAGUUGUAUAUGCAUAAAUAUCUAUAUCUGAAUCUAUCCCUGAAUCUUCUAUAGGUUCAUAACCGAGAUCAUAUGCAAUUUUUAGUAAGUUUGUUUCUUUCUCUUUUUUAGUCUUUUUUGGACAUUCGUAGGCUUUGUGUCCGUCUUCUUGACAUAUCCAACAUUUACAAUCUUUUUUAUUAGAUGGACAGUAAUUUGUGUUAGAUUGAUAUUUGUUUCUUAUAUUGUUUUCUGUCUCGAAAAUAUUUUCUUUCACCUUGUUUAUAAUAUUGUUUAUAUUUAGGUUUAUAAGUUUGUUUUUUCCAAAUUUUCUUUUUAUAUUUUUGUUUCUUAUUAUCUUUACAACCAUAUUGAUUAACUUUAUUAGAUAGGGUAUCACAACAUAAAUCAAUUCUUGCAUCUUGUGUUGUUUUUUGUUCUAAACAUUUUUUCUGCAUCCAUGCUUUUAAUAUACUUAUCCUUGCUCCUAAGGUAUCUGCAAUUUUAUUUUGUUGUAAUGCUUCUUGGAAAUCUUUUAUUACACUUUGACUUACUAAUGAUGGUAAUUUUUGGUAAAACAUGUCUAAUGCUAUCUUUUUUCUAGUAAAAUCCAGAUUAUAAUAAUGUUCAGAAUAUUCGCAUAUAAAUGGGUCUAAAUAACACAUGUUACAAAUUCGUAAAUUAGUUAGAUGCAAUAAUGAUUCUAAUUGAAAAGCUUCUUGAGAUGUUUUAUCUUCUAUUUGUUUUCCUAUGAAUUCUUGAAUAAGCCGAUUUAAUACAUUUUUAAAUGUUUCCAUGGCGUCAGUGGUAGCUAUCAUCAUCGUCUCUGUUUCAUCGAGAGAUGAAAGGAAACGAUAUGCAUUGCCCUGUGUUUUAUGUAUAAUAUAAUUAAGAAAAUUUUUUGGAUGUAGAUUUCUUAAUUCUUCAGUUAGUUGAAUUUGAAUUCCCAUUUUAUUACUCCAUUCUUGAAUUUUUGCUUCGGGAUUUUGCUCACAAUCAAUAAAAAGAAUAUCUGAAUUUGUUGGAAAAGUAAAUAGUUUAGGUAUAUAUUGUGGAGGUAUUUUUUCCCAUUUAUUUUGUUUAUUUUUGACCAUUCCUUGUCUAUAUAAAAAAUUUUCUUCUAACGAAGGUGGUCCAUAUAUAUAUUGACUUUGAUAAUCAUCUUCAACAUAUGAUUGUUUUCGUUUUAAUCCAAAAUUGUGUUGUGAAUCUCUAUAUGGAUUUAAAUAAGGGUUUUCAUCAUCUGAAGAAAAAUCAUAUAUUACUUCUGCGUCAUCAUUAUCUGAAUUAUUUUCUAUUAUAUUAUUUUCUUAAAUUUCAGACGGAAUUUCUAAUGCUGCAAAUAAUUUAGUUAGUGUUUCUACUUUUUUUUGUAAAGUUUUCAUAUAUAAUAAAAAUUUUAGUUUCUUUUUCUUAGUGAAUUAGUUAUUAUUAACGCUUUUUUUUUUUUAAAACUUAUUGAACAAAUUAAUUUUGUUAUCUUAUCUUCAAGGUUUUUUAUUUGUUCUUGUUUCCAAUUUAUACUAUUAUUUAUUAUAUGUAUUGCUUCAAUAUUAGAUAUACAAUUUAUUAUUGAUAUGUUAGAGUCUAUUUUUAAAUUUAGAAGAAAUUUUUUAGACUGUUUUAAUGUUUUACGAAAAAAUUUUAAUUCUUGUUUAUUUGUGUUUAGGCUUGAAAAACUCAUACUUAUAGCUUGAAUAACUUAUAAUGAUGAUUAUUUAUAUAAUGUUUAUGGUGACAAAUAAAGACGGUCAUACUAAGGAUAGAAAUAAUAGUACAAAUGAAUGCUUAUUAAUAUUUAGAAGUUAUAUGUUUUAAAAUACAAAUAAUUUUGUUUUUAGAUGACGUAUUUGCUUGUAACGAAUUUUAAUACUAGUUUUUAUAAAAUAUCUAACAUCAUGAAUAUAGUUAUUGUUUAAAACCGUACCUUGAUUUUGAGGUUUGUAGGAAUCUUUGAGAUUUUGCUUAGAAUUAUUUAUAGAUUCAUGGAUUUGUUGUAUUUUUAAAAUAAUAUUUCUAUUAGGAAUACAAUUCAUCAAUAUUUUAUUAGACAUAAAUAUAUAUUUUAAGCAUGAAUUUGAUUAAUUUGAUUAUUAUUAAGAACGAGUAUUAUUUUAAUAAAAUUUCAAAUUUUGUAAAAACUCGAAAUGAUAUUAUCAUGGAGAAAUAAAAGUAAUAUAAUGAUUGAAAAUAUCUUUAGACAUAUUUAUGAUAUUAAAUCUUCUUAUGAUAAAUAUCUUAGUUGUUGGUGAUGACUUUUUAAAUAUGAGUAUUUAAAAACAAUGAUCUUUCAUUAUUAUGUUUACGAUGUUGCAUAUGUUUAUUUUCUUAUUGACGAUAGAUUGAAUAUGUAAAAUAAUAAGAACGUUACUUAGCUCUAUACCAAAUUUAAUAACAUGACGGAAUUAAUAAAGAUUAAGAGAAGAUUAUACCUGAAUGAUGCGUUGGAUUAUAUUGAUGAUGGAUUGUGUUGAAUGAUUAGAUAAUUAUGUGGAUAAUUUGGAUAGAACUCUGCUAUUCAGAAAUAGAACAACUAUUUCAACAGAGAAGACAAUUGAGAUCAACUCAAGUCUUAAACACUCAAACUUAGCUUGUUAUUUCAUUUGGGCAAAGGCCCUAUUUAUAGGCUCAAGAGAGCCGGUUACAAUUAUUGUUGCAAUCGUUUGAUUGCAAUACGACAUAUAUAUUUACAUUAUAGCCCCCUAGACUAUUGAGGGUUAUACACUUUAUGUUACAUUAACCGACACUUAAUAAUUAUUCUACCGACACUUAUUUAAUUACAUAACAAUCCUUCUAUCGACACUUUACAUAAUGAAAAAUAUAAUAAUCUCUUUCACAUUGAAAUGACAGGUGUCUUCAAUAAUGUCUUCAAUUAUGGCUUUUUACGUUAUUGCUUACGUCAUUGUGUUAUUAUUUGUCCGUAGAAUGUGACGUAAAUAUUGUGUAGGUAAAAUUAAAAUAAAGUGUGUAACCCUCAGUAGUCUAGGGAGUUAUAUUGUAAAUAUGUAUGUCGUUUUGCAAUCAAACGAUUGUAACUCAAUUAUGUAAUCGACUCUCUUGAGCCUAUAAAUAGGGUCUUUGCCCGUAUGAAAUAAACAAGCGAAGUUUGAGUAUCUAAGACUUGAGUUGAAUCUCAAAGUUCUUCUUCUGUUGAAAUAAUUGUUCUAUUUCUGAAUAGCAGAACCCUAUCCAAACAUACCCAAGAUUAUCCAUAUAAUCAUUCUUAUAAUUUAAACAACGCAUCCCGACGCAUCAUUCAUGUAUAAUCCUAUCCUAACUUUUUCUAUUAAUUCCGUUAUGUUUUUAAAAUUGGUAUCAGAGC
This 5479-nucleotide long non-coding RNA is filed under the name Lactuca sativa (garden lettuce). RNAcentral describes it as "long non-coding RNA (LSAT_LNC008432)". The record is from RNAcentral. Lineage: Eukaryota; Viridiplantae; Streptophyta; Magnoliopsida; Asterales; Asteraceae.